UUUUCCUUAAAAAACAACAGAAUAGUAUUUGCUUUAAGUUUUUUUUUUGAGAUUUUUCUCUUCGACUUCGAAAUUUCAUUCAUUCCAGAAUAUCAAACAAACAGUACGAAAGAAACCAAAUAAAAGCGCUUUGUAAAUUUCAGCAAAUUUGUAUCACUCGAGUUCUAUCUAUUUAUAAUAACGGAAAUUUUCUUCACUGGAGAAGUAACCAUCUUUUGAGGGUUUUUUGAGAUGCACCGUGUAGCCAGUGCUGGGGGCGUAUCUGGUUCAUCCCGUCCUCGAAAGGAGAAGAAGUUAACAUAUGUGCUCAAUGAUGCUGAUGACUCAAAGCAUUGUGCAGGUGUAAAUUGUGUGGCUGUUUUAAAAUCGGCAGUACGGGAUAGCUGCGACUACUUAUUUACCGGAAGCAGAGAUGGGACUCUAAAGAGGUGGGCAUUAGGCGAGGACGAUGCUACCUGCUCUGCCACAUUCGAGUCGCAUGUUGAUUGGGUAAAUGAUGCGGUUCUUGCAGGCAACAACACACUAAUUUCAUGCUCUUCAGACACCACACUCAAGGCAUGGAAUUGCUUAUUUGAUGGGACUUGCACAAGAACUCUCCGUCAGCACUCGGAUUAUGUUACAUGUCUUGCUGCAGCUGAAGAAAAUAGCAAUGUUAUUGCCUCUGGUGGACUUGGUGGAGAAGUAUUUGUUUGGGAUCUCGAAGCUGCUCUUUAUCCAGUAUCAAAGCCAACGGAAGCAGUGGAAGACGAAAAUUCAAAUGGCAUAGUUGGCUCUGGAAACUCCGGCAUGCCUAUGACAAGUUUACGGUCGAUUGGUUCAAGCAGCAGCAUUUCCAUGCACCCAAGCCAGUCUCAUGGAUAUAGUCCUAUUGCUGCAAAAGGGCAUAAAGAGUCUGUCUAUGCAUUGGCAAUGAAUGAUAGCGGGACUUUGCUAGUUUCUGGUGGAACUGAGAAGGUGGUUCGCGUUUGGGAUCCAAGAACUGGUACGAAGACUCUGAAGCUAAGAGGGCAUACUGAUAACAUUAGGGCACUUCUUCUGGACUCUACUGGGAGGUUUUGCUUAUCAGGAUCCGCAGAUUCAAUGAUUAGACUAUGGGAUCUUGGUCAACAACGUUGUGUGCAUUCCUAUGCUGUGCAUACAGACUCAGUUUGGGCACUCGCCAGCACUCCAACAUUCAGCCAUGUCUAUAGUGGCGGGAGGGACCUCUCUGUGUACCUAACAGACUUGGGCACUAGAGAGAGUGUUUUGCUUUGCACGAAGGAGCAUCCUAUCUCACAGCUUGCGCUGCAUGAUGAUAGCAUAUGGGUUGCAACAACAGAUUCUUCUGUACACAAGUGGCCAGCUGAAGGUAGAACCCCUCAAAAAGUUUUUGAAAGAGGUGGUUCAUUCUUGGCUGGGAACUUGUCCUUUACCAGAGCAAGGGCAAGCUUAGAAGGAUCAACUCCUGUUCCUGUUUAUAAAGAACCCUCUUUUACUAUUCCUGGAACUCCAGGCGUAGUGCAGCAUGAAAUUUUGAACAACAGAAGGCAGGUUCUAACAAAGGAUACUGCUGGAUCAGUGAAGUUAUGGGAGAUUACAAGGGGCGUUGUGGUUGAGGAUUAUGGCCAGGUUUCAUUUGACGAGAAAAAGGAGGAACUUUUUGAGAGGGUUAGCAUUCCUGCAUGGUUCACCACAGAUACGAGGCUUGGAAGUUUGUCUAUCCAUUUGGAGACCCCACAAUGUUUUUCUGCAGAGAUGUAUUCUGUUGAUCUUAACACAGUUGGGGUUCCUGAGGAUCACAAGAUCAAUCUAGCCGAGGAGACCUUAAAGGGUUUGUUUGCUCACUGGUUGACAAAAAGAAAGCAGAAGUCUGGUCCGCAAGCUUCGGUAAAUGGCGAAAUUCCUUUGGGGAAGGAUUUACCUGUCAGAAGCCAUUCUCACUCGAGAGUCGAGCUUGAAGAUAAACCUGAUAGUCACAGCUCUGCUGUUCAUCCUGCAUUCGAGUUUUCAACAGUUUCACCACCAUCUAUCAUCACCGAGGGUUCUCAUGGAGGUCCAUGGAGAAAGAAAAUUACUGACCUGGAUGGCACAGAAGAUGACAAGGAAAUUCCAUGGUGGUGUUUAGACUGCAUUUUGAAUAAAAAGAUCCCUCACAAGGAUAAUACCAAGUGCAGCUUUUAUUUGCAUCCAUGUGAAGGUUCAACUGUCCAAGUGCUCACACAAGGGAAGUUGAGUGCACCGAGAAUAUUGCGCAUUCACAAAGUCAUUAAUUAUGUGGUAGAAAAAAUGGUUCUUGACAAACCACUAGAUGGUGUGACCUCUGAUGCACCAUUUGCCGCCGGAGGUUCACUUUCAACUAUUGUGGGGGACAGCAGCUUCCGAACAGGCUUGAAGCCACUGCAAAAACUUAAGCCCAACAUAGAGAUUUUGUGUAAUAAUCAGGUUUUAACUCCAGAAAUGAGUUUAGCCACAGUUCGAGCUUAUAUAUGGAAGAAAGCUGAUGACUUGAUCCUUAACUACAGAGUGGUGCAAAGUAGAUAAAUUUUUAGCACAGCCGGGUGAUGAUCAUGGUGAGAUUGGAGUAGUUGGACAAUGAUGGUGUUUUAGGCAAUCAGGCAAUGAUGAAAUCGUAGUUCCUGUAGAUUUUACAGUAGCAGCAUCAGUUGGCAACUUGUUUUCUUGUCCUCUGUUAUCGUGGCAAUCAGGAACAAAAGCAUACCAUUAUUGGCAAGACUAAAAUAUUGUUUGCAGGAGCUUUAUAAGCAAGACACUGAAGGCAUUUUAGGGUUUGUAAAGAGGACAAAAGAAGGCAUUGGCAGAGGUAACAGAGCUUCGACUGUCCUUGAGAAGGGAGAUGUCUUAUUGAGGAUAAUGCCGAAAAGCAAUAUAGAUUUUACAUCAGUUGGAUUGGUAAUAAAACUUUUACUAACACAAAAUGAGGAAAAAAAAAACUGUUAUGGGGAUAAUGAAAGUUGACCUUGUGGGAAAUAAAACAGCUUCCAUUGGUGUUGAUUGUUAACCAGACUUUCAAUAUAAUUAUUUAUCUUAAAUUUUAGUUCCACGGUAGUUCUGUCCUCUGAAGAGUGUUACUAGCUGCUCUGCAUAUAGUUAUACUUUGGUAUUGUGUACACCUAACAAAUGUUUAUGCAUUGGAGAUUGUAUCUUAAUCUUUGUAAUUGAGUGAUUAGGUAAAGACAAUGAAUAUCACUUUCAAAGAUUAAUAUCUGGUGGUCA
Molecule: RNA transcript, 3213 nt
Organism: Papaver somniferum (opium poppy)
Lineage: Eukaryota; Viridiplantae; Streptophyta; Magnoliopsida; Ranunculales; Papaveraceae
Gene name: WD repeat-containing protein 48-like
Exons: 21
Source: RefSeq, a predicted model, not a curated record